GGUCUUUUGUUUAUAUAAAAGAUCUGGCCUGCUCAGUGAAUUUUAAAUAGCUGCAGUAUUUUGACUGUACAAAGGUAGCAUAAUCACUUGUCUUUUGAUUGAGGUCUGGAAUGAAUGGUUUGAUGAAAGAUAUACUUUAUUUAUUUUUAAAAUAAAAUUUAAUUUUUAAGUUAAAAAGCUUGGAAAUUUUUUUAUAGGACGAGAAGACCCUAUAGAACUUUAUUUAUAUAUUUUUAUAUCUUUAUAGGUUAUGUAUUUUUAAUAAAAAAAUAUAAAUUUUGUUGGGGUGACAAAAAAAAUAUUAUAACUUUUUUUAAUUUUUACAUUAAUAUAUGUAUUUUUGAUCCUUUAUUUGGAAAAAAAGAAUAAGUUACCUUAGGGAUAACAGCGUUAUUAUUUCGGAGAGUUCAUAUUGAUGAAAUAGUUUGCGACCUCGAUGUUGGAUUAAAAUAAGAUAUAGAAGUAGAAUGUUAUACUCUUGGUCCGUUCGACCUU
Molecule: ribosomal RNA, 495 nt
Filed under: Orthotylinae gen. ZANCGEN1 sp. Msp482
Lineage: Eukaryota; Metazoa; Arthropoda; Insecta; Hemiptera; Miridae
Description: partial large subunit ribosomal RNA
Source: RNAcentral